CCUACGGGCGGCUGCAGUGAGGAAUAUUGGUCAAUGGACGAGAGUCUGAACCAGCCAAGUCGCGUGAAGGAUGACUGCUCUAUGGGUUGUAAACUUCUUUUAUAAAGGAAUAAAACGAGGCACGUGUGCCUUUUUGUAUGUACUUUAUGAAUAAGGAUCGGCUAACUCCGUGCCAGCAGCCGCGGUAAUACGGAGGAUCCGAGCGUUAUCCGGAUUUAUUGGGUUUAAAGGGUGCGUAGAUGGGUUGUUAAGUCAGUUGUGAAAGUUUGCGGCUCAACCGUAAAAUUGCAAUUGAUACUGGCAGUCUUGAGUACAGUUGAGGUAGGCGGAAUUCGUGGUGUAGCGGUGAAAUGCUUAGAUAUCACGAAGAACCCCGAUUGCGAAGGCAGCUUACUAAGCUGUGACUGACAUUGAUGCUCGAAAGUGUGGGUAUCAAACAGGAUUAGAUACCCUAGUAGUC
RNAcentral lists this ribosomal RNA (460 nucleotides) under uncultured bacterium. RNAcentral's name for it is "partial 16S ribosomal RNA". It matches the Rfam family "Bacterial small subunit ribosomal RNA", at positions 338 to 795 of the family's 1533-position model. The record is from RNAcentral.